AUGGAGGCUGCCUUUCAUGGUAGAAAGACUUAUGCUACUCAAAAUGUGAUGGCGGCUGUAGAUUUUGACCUUCGAUUCACAUAUGUUUUGGCCGGUUGGGAGGGGACAUCACAUGAUGCUCUAGUUUUACGUGAUGCUUUAGAACGUGAGAAUGGUCUAUGUGUCCCACAAGGAAAAUUUUAUCUAGUUGAUGUUGGAUAUGGAGCCAAACCGGGUUUUUUGCCUCCUUUUCGUGGUGUGAGGUAUCACUUGAAUGAGUGGGGAAACAACCCCGUGCAAUACGAGAAGGAGCUAUUCAACCUUAGGCAUUCUUCUCUUCAUGUGACCGUAGAACGUGCAUUUGGCUCAUUGAAGAGAAGAUUCAAGAUACUUGAUGAUGCCACCCCAUUCUUUCUAUUUCCAACACAAGUUGACAUUGUUGUGGCUUGUUGCAUUAUUCACAAUUGGGUUAUAAAUGAUGGGAUAGAUGAAUAUAUCAUACCCGAGGAUGAAUGGGUGCCAAAUAUUACUCAUGCUUCGUCAUCAAGUGGUCAAGCACAUGAACAUGCAUACAUGGCUAGUUUUAGGCAAGGACUUGCUGAUCAAAUAUGGGAAGACCGACAAAACCAUUUGCAAGGUCAAAAUAUGUAG
RNAcentral lists this ribosomal RNA (630 nucleotides) under Triticum aestivum (bread wheat). Its description in RNAcentral is "partial small subunit ribosomal RNA". Lineage: Eukaryota; Viridiplantae; Streptophyta; Magnoliopsida; Poales; Poaceae. The record is from RNAcentral.